UGGGAUGGGGAUGCUGGGAGAAGAGGGUUUGACUUAUCCUGGCUCUUGUUGCUUCUUUAGGACUUGGAGCCACUCCUCCCUAGCACAGCCUGCCCAUUGAGCACCUAAGUUGGGCUCUCCCCCAGCCCCAGCCCCCAUCACUGGACAGUCAUGGGCAGUGGCUGCUACCAGGGAGAACCGCAUGACCUUGAGCAAGACAGCUUUCUGUGGAGGGAAGGCAGUUCUCCAAGAGACACUCAUCUGAGAGCUGUCAGCCAACUCUCCCAGCAGGAAAGUCACAUUUUGAACUUCACUCCCUAAAAUACAUUCAAUCACGCUUCGGCUUCUGAGGAGGGGCGGAGGGAGGCACAUAGCAACGGCUUAUGUGCUUCGCUUCUCAUCUGAGGAAAUUAUCUUUUCAAAAUGACGGGUGCUCCUGACCCUGUCUGAGAGCAGAAUUGUAGAGCUGUUCCAUUCUGCUUCGAGCUAAUCCAGUCCUGGUUUCCUGAACUGAGGUCUCAGAGAAGGUGGGCGGGGCUGUGGCGACCUUGUCAAUCAAAAUGGCUCCUGCAGAGCUUGCCAGAUCUGCUCUUCUCCACCCCAGAGGCUGACCUGCAUGGGCCGCAAUCAACAGCCUCCCUUGUCCCCAGCUCCACUGUGUCUGUUACUGGAGAGCCCAGCAGAUAAGGGGGAAGAAAAUAGAGGCUGCUUUUGGCUGGCUGUGCCACGGAAUGGCUCCUCUACAGCAUCCUCUCCUUCCCAACCAGUGUGAUGGGCCCAUACUCUUUAACCCCUGCGAUCUAAGGUCAGGAUGGGUCUCUGAGACCUGGGGCUGCAGGAAAGAGGUGCUGGACCUGAUGUAGGUCCCCAGUGAUUAUAGGUUUGGGGUGAGGGUCACGGCACAACCUAGAGAAUGAAGCAGGAUCUGUUACUCACCUGUGAGGACUUUCAGGUCUCCCAUGGUCUUUCCUGUCCUGGCAACUCCCCAGUGUUUAGCCAAUGCAAUUAGUUUAGUUCACUGUACAUUUGUUUUCCCACUGAUUUUUAGACAGAGUGAAAGGGAGGGAGAGAAGGAGAGAGAGAGAACAGAGAAGAGAAAGAAGAGAAACAAUGAUGUGAGAGAGACACAUCGAUCUGUUGCCUCCCAUACUGGAGUACUGGGGCUCAAACCUGCCACCCAGAUACAUGCCCUUGAUCAGGAAUCGAAUCUGCAACCCUUCAGUGCGCAGGCCAAAGCUCUAACCACUGAGAACACCGGCAGUGGACUCUGUCCCUGCCUUUUGAAUCUGGGUGAACUUGUAAUUCCUCUGUCCCAUAAAGUUCAGAAGAAGUGAUAGAUAUGACUUCUGAGCCUGGGUCAUAAAAGAUGCUGAGCUUUCUCCUGGUUCUCCUGGGACCUGGCUCUGUGGGAAGUCCAUCCACGUAAGAAGUCUGACAACCCUGAACCCACCUGCUGGAGAGGCCACGUGAAACAGUUCAGGAGGCAGCCCAAGCUGAGCUCCCAGCCAACUGCCCAGCAUCAGCUGCCAGCCAUGUGGAUGAGCCAACUUGGACGUCUGGCCCAAUCAUGCCUUCAGAUGACCGCCGUCUCAGCCAACAUCUAAAUGCAGCCUUGUGAGAGAUCCCAAGGCUCACCAGAGCUCCUUAAUUUCCUGACUCAGAAAAUCACAAGCAAAAGAAAAUGAUUGUGUUUUGUUUUUUUUAAUGUUUUUAUUGACUUCGGAAAGAGGAAGGAAGAGAGGAAUAG
Myotis myotis is the source of this 1726-nucleotide long non-coding RNA. RefSeq lists it as uncharacterized. The transcript has 4 exons. The record is from RefSeq and is a predicted model, not a curated record. Lineage: Eukaryota; Metazoa; Chordata; Mammalia; Chiroptera; Vespertilionidae.